RNAcentral lists this ribosomal RNA (251 nucleotides) under Streptomyces sp. RPAUOCAS0105. RNAcentral's name for it is "partial 16S ribosomal RNA". It matches the Rfam family "Bacterial small subunit ribosomal RNA", at positions 259 to 523 of the family's 1533-position model. Lineage: Bacteria; Bacillati; Actinomycetota; Actinomycetes; Kitasatosporales; Streptomycetaceae. The record is from RNAcentral.
UGAGGCCUACCAGGCGACGACGGGUAGCCGGCCUGAGAGGGCGACCGGCCACACUGGGACUGAGACACGGCCCAGACUCCUACGGGAGGCAGCAGUGGGGAAUAUUGCACAAUGGGCGAAAGCCUGAUGCAGCGACGCCGCGUGAGGGAUGACGGCCUUCGGGUUGUAAACCUCUUUCAGCAGGGAAGAAGCGCAAGUGACGGUACCUGCAGAAGAAGCGCCGGCUAACUACGUGCCAGCAGCCGCGGCGG